UACUAAUCUGCGAUAAGCGCCGGUAAGGUGAUAUGAACCGUUAUAACCGGCGAUACCCGAAUGGGGAAACCCAGUGUGAUUCGUCACACUAUCAUUAACUGAAUCCAUAGGUUAAUGAGGCGAACCGGGGGAACUGAAACAUCUAAGUACCCCGAGGAAAAGAAAUCAACCGAGAUUCCCCCAGUAGCGGCGAGCGAACGGGGAGGAGCCCAGAGCCUGAAUCAGCAUGUGUGUUAGUGGAAGCGUCUGGAAAGGCGCGCGAUACAGGGUGACAGCCCCGUACACAAAAGCGCAUGUGCUGUGAGCUCGAUGAGUAGGGCGGGACACGUGGUAUCCUGUCUGAAUAUGGGGGGACCAUCCUCCAAGGCUAAAUACUCCUGACUGACCGAUAGUGAACCAGUACCGUGAGGGAAAGGCGAAAAGAACCCCGGCGAGGGGAGUGAAAAAGAACCUGAAACCGUGUACGUACAAGCAGUGGGAG
RNAcentral lists this ribosomal RNA (481 nucleotides) under Salmonella enterica subsp. enterica serovar Enteritidis. RNAcentral describes it as "partial 23S ribosomal RNA". It matches the Rfam family "Bacterial large subunit ribosomal RNA", at positions 59 to 579 of the family's 2925-position model. Lineage: Bacteria; Pseudomonadati; Pseudomonadota; Gammaproteobacteria; Enterobacterales; Enterobacteriaceae. The record is from RNAcentral.